GUGAGGAAUAUUGGGCAAUGGGCGCAAGCCUGACCCAGCCAUGCCGCGUGAAGGUAGAAGGCCCUAUGGGUUGUAAACUUCUUUUAUACGGGAAGAAACUUCCGAACGUGUUCGGAAUUGACUGUACCGUAGGAAUAAGCAUCGGCUAACUCCGUGCCAGCAGCCGCGGUAAUACGGAGGAUGCAAGCGUUAUCCGGAUUUAUUGGGUUUAAAGGGUGCGUAGGCGGAAUGAUAAGUCAGUGGUGAAAGCCUGCGACUUAACCGUAGAACUGCCAUUGGUACUGUUGUUCUUCAGUAUAGUUGAGGUGGGCGGAAUGUGUAAGGUAGCGGUGAAAUGCUUAGAUAUUACACAGAACACCGAUUGCGAAGGCAGCUCACUAAGCUGUUACUGACGCUGAGGCACAAAAGCGUGGGGAGCAAACAGGAUUAGAAACCCGUGUAGUCC
This 445-nucleotide ribosomal RNA is filed under the name uncultured bacterium. Its description in RNAcentral is "partial 16S ribosomal RNA". It matches the Rfam family "Bacterial small subunit ribosomal RNA", at positions 354 to 796 of the family's 1533-position model. The record is from RNAcentral.